AUACAAAACCGGUUAAAUAUAUAUAUCCAAAUUUUAUUAUAAAACUGAUUAGCUUCUCCUUUUUCUCGCUCGCGCGGCUCACUCUCUGCAACUCACUUCCUCUUCUCCGUUUCGCCGCUCCAUCCGUCACUGAAUAAUUUCGCAUGUAAAACUCGUUUUGCUUGAAAAGUCGUGUGAAGAAACCAAUCGAUUCUGAUUUAAGGUCAUUCUAAACUUGGACAACAUUGUAGAUAUAUGUCCUAAAGAUAGAGCAAGUGGAAUUAGAGCAGAAAAUGCAUUUGACGCAGAUGAUGUCAUGAGCAAUGAAAUAAAUAUAGAGGAAGAAGGUUCCACUGUGCAUAUUAAUUUAGAGUAACCAAGUUCCACAACAAAGAAGGUGCCAAAGUCCCUUUAAACCUGUGUUUUUUAUUCGUUCCUCUUUCCAUCAUGGUUUUGAAUUUGACCCUAGUGGCACUGCAUGAAGCCGAAAACCAAAUCGAAGUGUCUCUGAAACAAUCCCUCAAAUCUCUGGAACCUUCCUUGAGACCACCCUUCACCUUAACCAUUCCAAAACCCGAUGAAUACGCUCAACUCAACUGUGCAAUCCUUCACGGCAUUCUCACCGAACCCCAAUUUGCCAAAACCCACAUUAAACACAUGCACGCUGUUGUCACCGACGGUUAUGCCAUCUUCCUCAACUUGCUCCUCAAAAGUGUUUACCACCUCUACCCAAAGCUCCUUAGUUCGGUGAAAAACCAGUUGCUUUGGGUCACCAAGGAAAUGGUUCGCGUCUCAGCAAUUGGCUACGACGUCCUCUUGGUCUCCCUUUUGAGGCAAAUCAUUGGCGGUGAUUUCAGCGACGACAAUUUGUGGCUUUGUACGAAGUUGGUGACCCUCUUAUUGGAUAAAUGGGAUUGUUUCUUGGAAGAAGUGCCCCACAUUUUGUGCAGUGCUUUGUAUGUGUUUCUUCGAGUUUUGGCUGAUCAUUGUAGGCUCAAUGGUGAAAAGUUGGAGUCUUUGAAGCGGUUGGAGGUUCAUUUGUGCGUGAAAAUAGUGAAGGAAGAAUUUCACCUAUGUUUAAAAAUUGGGAGGGAUUUUGUUCGGUUGUUGCAGGAUUUGGUUCAUGUUCCUGAUUUUAAGUCUAUAUGGAAGGAUCUAAUUUUGAAUCCAUCUAAGUUUAAUACUUUAGGAUUUGGUGCUGUUUCUCAGAUUUAUUGCACUAGGACUUCGAGUAGGUAUGCUUUGCUUAGGAUCACUCCUGAAAUGGAAACUCAAUUGCGGUUUUUGCUUACCCAUGUGAAGUUGGGGCACGAAAAGAGGCAUUUGACGUGGUUUGCUAGGAAAUUUCUAAAUGAGCCGGAUAAAGAGACUGUUAUAGUUGAUAUAGUUAGAUUUAUAUGUUGUGCACACCAUCCUCCAAAUGAGAUUAUUCAGUCUGAUGUGAUUCCGAGAUGGGCUGUUAUUGGUUGGCUUUUGACAACUUGUAGGAGGAAGAAUUAUAUUGAGGCCAAUGUGAAACUGGCUUUGUUUUAUGAUUGGCUCUUUUUUGAUGAAAGGGUGGAUAAUAUCAUGAACAUAGAGCCUGCUAUUUUGUUGAUGGUACAUUCUAUUCCCCAAUAUGUGGACAUGACCAACACUCUUCUUGAGUUUUUGUUACUUCUUGUGGACAACUAUGAUAUGGAACAUAAGGAUAUCAUUGUUAAAAGUGUCUCAUCGGCCUUUCGAUUUCUUGAAAGCAAAGGUGUGAUUAAGUCGCUUGAUGUUUUGACUUCCUGUCCUACAAUAUCCCCUUCUCUAAAAGAGGGAUUGAGUAGAUUGUUAUCAUGUGGAAAGCGUGAAAGUUCUAAAGGAUUUCUGUCAGGUAGUUAAUACUCUACCAUGGCCACCUUCAAGAUUCUUAAAUUUGUCUUUAAUCUAAAUUAAGGUAGCUCAGAAUAUUAUAGGAGUAUGUAGCAAGCUGUGCAGUCUGCACACAUAUUUAGUCCAUUUUUUCAAAGACAGUUCAUAUGCAAUCUUUCUUUUAACACAUUUCUAAAUAAAAACUGGUUGAUCACUCUUCUGUCUCUGGCGGUGCUCUGCUCCCAUAACAACACCUUGUUCAUCUCAGUACCGAGUCAGCCAGGGCAACAGAUUGUGUAAUUUCUGCAAAAGUUAUAUAUCAAACAACUGGACAAGGUUAAAGAAGAGGCUGGCUGCUAUGAGAUAAGAGAAUGCUGCUUAGGAGAAAAGACAGAAAGAAACAGCUCUAUGCUUAGGAAGUCUUGUGAUAUCAUAGAAUUAGAUGUGAAUAUUGAUAAUAAAACUAAUUGAAAGAACCGUCUCUGUGUCUUUCCAUGGUUUACCCUGUAUUUGCAAUUUUAAUGGCUAAAAACAAUGAGUGCACUGUCACUGCUUGGUAGUAAUGGUUUCUCUCUUUUCAAACAAGCAUGUCCUUUCUCUACUA
Molecule: RNA transcript, 2422 nt
Organism: Lathyrus oleraceus (garden pea)
Lineage: Eukaryota; Viridiplantae; Streptophyta; Magnoliopsida; Fabales; Fabaceae
Exons: 3
Source: RefSeq, a predicted model, not a curated record